This 253-nucleotide ribosomal RNA is filed under the name uncultured bacterium. RNAcentral's name for it is "partial 16S ribosomal RNA". It matches the Rfam family "Bacterial small subunit ribosomal RNA", at positions 524 to 776 of the family's 1533-position model. The record is from RNAcentral.
UACGUAGGGACCGAGCGUUGUCCGGAAUCAUUGGGCGUAAAGAGCUUGUAGGCGGUUUGUCGCGUCUGCUGUGAAAAUCCGGGGCUCAACCCCGGACUUGCAGUGGAUACGGGCAGACUAGAGUUCGGUAGGGGAGUCUGGAAUUCCUGGUGUAGCGGUGAAAUGCGCAGAUAUCAGGAGGAACACCGGUGGCGAAGGCGGGACUCUGGGCCGAUACUGACGCUGAGGAGCGAAAGCGUGGGGAGCAAACAGG